Molecule: ribosomal RNA, 253 nt
Filed under: uncultured bacterium
Lineage: Bacteria
Description: partial 16S ribosomal RNA
Rfam family: Bacterial small subunit ribosomal RNA
Source: RNAcentral
UACGUAGGGUGCAAGCGUUGUCCGGAAUUAUUGGGCGUAAAGAGCUCGUAGGCGGUCUGUCACGUCGGCUGUGAAAACCCGAGGCUCAACCUCGGGCCUGCAGUCGAUACGGGCAAACUAGAGUACUGCAGGGGAGACUGGAAUUCCUGGUGUAGCGGUGAAAUGCGCAGAUGUCAGGAGGAACACCGGUGGCGAAGGCGGGUCUCUGGGCAGUAACUGACGCUGAGGAGCGAAAGCGUGGGGAGCGAACAGG